ACUAAAGAUCAUACUUUUCCAUGUAAAAAAAUACCCUCAACUAAACUUUCCGCUCCAAAAAUAUGUAACAAAAUCCAAUAAUUACAAGCAAAAUAGGAAUAUUGUUAUUACUAAAAUAAUUACAUCUUCAUUUAUACAAAAUCACAAACUACAAACAAUAACAUCAUCAGCAUCUGAAACUAAAAGUUUAACCUCGACACCACCGCCAACAAUGGAGAGAGAAACCAUGCGCCGCCGUAGCAUCGCCGUCAUUCUGUUGCUUUCAGUCUGCCUCGCGGCGUCGCCGGCUUCUGCUUCGUCUUCUCAGGCUGAUUUCAUCAAGAAAACUAUCUCUUCUCAUACAAUUGUCAUCUUCUCCAAAUCUUAUUGCCCGUACUGUAAGAGGGCGAAAGAGGUUUUUAGAGAGUUAGACCAAGCACCACAUGUUAUUGAGUUGGAUGAGAGAGAUGAUGGUUAUAGCAUUCAGGAUGCACUUAGAGAUAUUGUUGGGAGACGUACAGUGCCCCAGGUCUUCAUCAACGGAAAACACAUUGGUGGAUCAGAUGAUACUGUUGAAGCCUAUCAAAAUGGAGAGCUGGCCAAACUUCUGGGUAUUGAUUUAACCGAUCAUGAUGAUCUGUGAUUCUGUGAAGUCAGACUAUAGUCAUAAUUUUAGAAUGAAGAUAAGUAUGGAGUAUGCAAGACUGAGACAAAGACCUUACCUUAAUUGCAAUUUCAUGAUUAGAAAACAAAAAGUGAUGUGAAGAAAACAAUGAUAAUUGACCUGAGAUUGAAACAAGGUACUAGCUAAUCAGGCUUCAAAAUGUAGAGGUUGCUAGAAGUUUGAGCUCCUCGUGAUCUAUGCUAUGAUUUCUACAAACAUUGUGGUUAUGGUCCAUGGCAUUAGUUGACAAUGCAAAUGUAAUCUUUUCUUGCUUAGCAUACACCCUGAAACUAAGAGUAGGGAAUGAUUUCUGUAACCUUUUUCUUUCUUUCAAUGUUAGUUUUGGACUUGAAUUUGGACUCAUUGUCUCAUCUUAAGUUGUGGUUUUGUCAUUUUUGAGCAUCUAUCGACAGUUUUAAAAGUAUCACCUGGCCUUGAUCAGAAAGUGCAUCAAGUGGCAAUCAGGUUCCGCACUUUACGUUGGAUUCCUGUGUUACAUUAAUUGCAUCCAAUGCUAGUCUUUUACAAGCAGGGUAUCUAUAAUGUGUGUCCCGCGACAGAUAUCUAAAAUGCCGGUGGCCCUUCCUGUACGGUAUGGAUGCUUUCUUGUUGGGCGAAAGAGUGGAUGUCUUUGAUGCUGCAAUGUUCCUGCACUCCCUUUUCCACUUUUUUUUUUUUUUUUUUUUCACUUGUACCGCCUUAUACUGUUCGUAGCUGAUUAUUACUCAUCUAUUGAUUCUCUCUCUGAGCUGUGAUCUGCAUCCUGUCCUUGAGGAA
RNA transcript from Chenopodium quinoa (quinoa), 1420 nucleotides. The record is from RefSeq and is a predicted model, not a curated record. NCBI's taxonomy places the organism in Eukaryota, Viridiplantae, Streptophyta, Magnoliopsida, Caryophyllales, Amaranthaceae.